GAAUAUUGCGCAAUGGGCGAAAGCCUGACGCAGCCAUGCCGCGUGUGUGAAGAAGGCCUUCGGGUUGUAAAGCACUUUCACUUGGGAAGAAAAGCUCGUAGCUAACAUCUGCGAGCCGUGACAUUACCUUGAGAAGAAGCACCGGCUAACUCCGUGCCAGCAGCCGCGGUAAUACGGAGGGUGCGAGCGUUAAACGGAAUUACUGGGCGUAAAGCGCGCGUAGGCGGUUUGUUAAGUCGGAUGUGAAAGCCCCGGGCUCAACCUGGGAAUUGCACCCGAUACUGGCCGACUGGAGUGCGAGAGAGGGAGGUAGAAUUCCACGUGUAGCGGUGAAAUGCGUAGAUAUGUGGAGGAAUACCGGUGGCGAAGGCGGCCUCCUGGCUCGACACUGACGCUGAGGUGCGAGAGCGUGGGGAGCAAACAGG
RNAcentral lists this ribosomal RNA (425 nucleotides) under uncultured bacterium. Its description in RNAcentral is "bacterial SSU rRNA". It matches the Rfam family "Bacterial small subunit ribosomal RNA", at positions 359 to 776 of the family's 1533-position model. The record is from RNAcentral.